GGCCCGCAGGCGCAAUGAAAGUGAAGGGCAGCCUUGUCGUUGCCUGCGUUGGGAUCCCCAGUCCACUGUGUCUGGGGCGCACCAACGGCCCGUCCCGUCCGCAACGUCGGUGGGACGGAGCGAGAGCGUACACGUUGGGACCCGAAAGAUGGUGAACUAUGCCUGGGCAGGACGAGGCCAGAGGAAACUCUGGUGGAGGUCCGCAGCGAUUCUGACGUGCAAAUCGAUCGUCAGACCUGGGUAUAGGGGCGAAAGACUAAUCGAACCGUCUAGUAGCUG
Molecule: ribosomal RNA, 279 nt
Filed under: Megacormus gertschi
Lineage: Eukaryota; Metazoa; Arthropoda; Arachnida; Scorpiones; Euscorpiidae
Description: partial 28S ribosomal RNA
Rfam family: Eukaryotic large subunit ribosomal RNA
Source: RNAcentral